AGUGAACGCUGGCGGUAGGCCUAACACAUGCAAGUCGAACGGCAGCACAGUAAGAGCUUGCUCUUACGGGUGGCGAGUGGCGGACGAGUGAGGAAUACAUCGGAAUCUACUUUUUCGUGGGGGAUAACGUAGGGAAACUUACGCUAAUACCGCAUACGACCUACGGGUGAAAGCAGGGGAUCUUCGGACCUUGCGCGAUUGAAUGAGCCGAUGUCGGAUUAGCUAGUUGGCGGGGUAAAGGCCCACCAAGGCGACGAUCCGUAGCUGGUCUGAGAGGAUGAUCAGCCACACUGGAACUAAGACACGGUCCAGACUCCUACGGGAGGCAGCAGUGGGGAAUAUUGGACAAUGGGCGCAAGCCUGAUCCAGCCAUACCGCGUGGGUGAAGAAGGCCUUCGGGUUGUAAAGCCCUUUUGUUGGGAAAGAAAAGCAGCAGGUUAAUACCCCGCUGUUCUGACGGUACCCAAAGAAUAAGCACCGGCUAACUUCGU
This 491-nucleotide ribosomal RNA is filed under the name uncultured bacterium. RNAcentral describes it as "partial 16S ribosomal RNA". It matches the Rfam family "Bacterial small subunit ribosomal RNA", at positions 29 to 506 of the family's 1533-position model. The record is from RNAcentral.